RNAcentral lists this ribosomal RNA (429 nucleotides) under Acidobacteriota bacterium. RNAcentral describes it as "Acidobacteria bacterium partial 16S ribosomal RNA". It matches the Rfam family "Bacterial small subunit ribosomal RNA", at positions 355 to 776 of the family's 1533-position model. Lineage: Bacteria; Pseudomonadati; Acidobacteriota. The record is from RNAcentral.
UGGGGAAUUUUGGACAAUGGGGGAAACCCUGAUCCAGCCAUCUCGCGUGUGCGAUGAAGGCCUUCGGGUUGUAAAGCACUUUUGUCAGGAAAGAAACGUCAUGGGUUAAUACCCCGUGAAACUGACGGUACCUGCAGAAUAAGCACCGGCUAACUACGUGCCAGCAGCCGCGGUAAUACGUAGGGUGCAAGCGUUAAUCGGAAUUACUGGGCGUAAAGCGUGCGCAGGCGGUUCGGAAAGAAAGAUGUGAAAUCCCAGAGCUCAAAUUUGGAACUGCAUUUUUAACUGCCGGGCUAGAGUGUGUCAGAGAGAGGUGGAAUUCCGCGUGUAGCAGUGAAAUGCGUAGAUAUGCGGAGGAACACCGAUGGCGAAGGCAGCCUCCUGGGAUAACACUGACGAUCAUGCACGAAGGCGUGGGGAGCAAACAGG